RNAcentral lists this transfer RNA (72 nucleotides) under Camelus bactrianus (Bactrian camel). It matches the Rfam family "tRNA". From Rfam's summary of the family: Transfer RNA (tRNA) molecules are approximately 80 nucleotides in length. RNAcentral also lists the same sequence under 2 other names. Lineage: Eukaryota; Metazoa; Chordata; Mammalia; Artiodactyla; Camelidae. The record is from Rfam by way of RNAcentral.
GAGGGUAUAGCUCAGUCGUAGAGUAUGUGCUUAGUGUUCGCAAGAUUCUGGGUUCCAUCCCCAGUACCUCCA